This 459-nucleotide ribosomal RNA is filed under the name uncultured bacterium. RNAcentral's name for it is "partial 16S ribosomal RNA". It matches the Rfam family "Bacterial small subunit ribosomal RNA", at positions 338 to 795 of the family's 1533-position model. The record is from RNAcentral.
CCUACGGGUGGCAGCAGUGAGGAAUAUUGGUCAAUGGGCGCGAGCCUGAACCAGCCAAGUCGCGUGAGGGAAGACGGUCCUAUGGAUUGUAAACCUCUUUUGUCGGGGAGCAAAAGACGCCACGCGUGGCGUUCCGAGAGUACCCGAAGAAAAAGCAUCGGCUAACUCCGUGCCAGCAGCCGCGGUAAUACGGAGGAUGCGAGAGUUAUCCGGAUUUAUUGGGUUCAAAGGGUGCGCAGGCGGAAGAUCAAGUCAGCGGUAAAAUUGAGAGGCUCAACCUCUGCGCGCCGUUGAAACUGGUGUUCUUGAGUGAAUGAGAGGUAUGCGGAAUGCGUGGUGUAGCGGUGAAAUGCAUAGAUAUCACGCAGAACUCCGAUUGCGAAGGCAGCAUACCGGCGCUCAACUGACGCUCAUGCACGAAAGUGUGGGUAUCGAACAGGAUUAGAUACCCUGGUAGUC